Molecule: ribosomal RNA, 524 nt
Filed under: Aporcelaimellus obtusicaudatus
Lineage: Eukaryota; Metazoa; Nematoda; Enoplea; Dorylaimida; Aporcelaimidae
Description: eukaryotic LSU rRNA
Rfam family: Eukaryotic large subunit ribosomal RNA
Source: RNAcentral
UGAAACACGGACCAAGGAGUCUAACAUAUGCGCGAGCUAAUGGGUGGAAAACCCAACAGCGUAAUAAAAGUAAACGCCGUUUCGGACGGCUAAGGUACGAUCCUAGUGUCCUUUGCGACAUUAGGCGCAGUACUGUCCCGUCCCGACCGCAUGUCGGUAGGGCGGAGAUAGAGUGCAUACGUUGGGACCCGAAAGAUGGUGAACUAUGCCUGAGCAGAGCGAAGCCAGAGGAAACUCUGGUGGAGGUUCGUAGCGGUUCUGACGUGCAAAUCGAUCGUCAGACUUGGGUAUAGGGGCGAAAGACUAAUCGAACCAUCUAGUAGCUGGUUCCCCCUGAAGUUUCCCUCAGGAUAGCUGAUACUCGGGAAAUCAAGAAGUUUUAUCCGGUAAAGCGAAUGAUUAGAGGCCUUGGGGACGAAAUGACCUCAACCUAUUCUCAAACUUUAAAUGGGUAAGAAGUCGAGCUUGCUCGACCGAAGCCCGGCAAACGAAUUCGAGUAUCAGUGGGCCAUUUUUGGUAAGCA